This 135-nucleotide unclassified non-coding RNA is filed under the name uncultured Myxotrichaceae. RNAcentral's name for it is "sequence contains ITS1". Lineage: Eukaryota; Fungi; Ascomycota; Leotiomycetes; Myxotrichaceae. The record is from RNAcentral.
CAGAGUUCUCGCCCUGACGGGUAGAUCUCCCACCCACUGUUAUCGUUACCGUCGUUGCUUUGGCGGGCCGCCAGGCCCGCCGGAGGCCCCCCAAACUCUGAAUGUUAGUGUCGUCUGAGUACUAUACAAUAGUUA